GACAGAGGGGGCAAGCGUUGCUCGGAAUUACUGGGCGUAAAGGGCGCGUAGGCGGGAUGGCAAGUCGGUCGUGAAAUGCCUCGGCUCAACUGAGGAUCGUCGAUCGAUACUGCCGUUCUUGAGGAUUGCAGAGGAGACUGGAAUUCCCGGUGUAGCGGUGAAAUGUGUAGAGAUCGGGAGGAACAUCAGUGGCGAAAGCGACUUCCUGGACCAAUACUGACGCUCAUGUGCGAAAGCGUGGGGAGCAAACAGG
RNAcentral lists this ribosomal RNA (253 nucleotides) under uncultured bacterium. RNAcentral describes it as "partial 16S ribosomal RNA". It matches the Rfam family "Bacterial small subunit ribosomal RNA", at positions 524 to 776 of the family's 1533-position model. The record is from RNAcentral.